GCAGGAGUAGCGAAGCGGUCAAACGUGACAGACUCAAGAUCUGUUGGCUUAACGCGUGACGGCGCCGAUGUAUGGCGAUGGAACGCGGGCGAUGCGCCUUCGAAGGUUCAAAUCCUUCCUCCUGCA
Molecule: transfer RNA, 126 nt
Filed under: Microcaldota archaeon
Lineage: Archaea; Nanobdellati; Microcaldota
Description: tRNA-Leu
Rfam family: tRNA
About the family: Transfer RNA (tRNA) molecules are approximately 80 nucleotides in length.
Source: RNAcentral